CCUACGGGAGGCAGCAGUAGGGAAUCUUCCACAAUGGGCGAAAGCCUGAUGGAGCAACGCCGCGUGGGUGAAGAAGGUCUUCGGAUCGUAAAACCCUGUUGUUAGAGAAGAAAGUGCGUGAGAGUAACUGUUCACGUUUCGACGGUAUCUACCCAGAAAGCCACGGCUAACUACGUGCCAGCAGCCGCGGUAAUACGUAGGUGGCAAGCGUUAUCCGGUAUUAUUGGGCGUAAAGGGAACGCAGGCGGUCUUGUAAGUCUGAUGUGAAAGCCUUCGGCUUAACCGGCGUAGGGCAUUGGAAACUGGGAGACUAGAGUGAAGAAGAGGAGAGUGGAACUCCAGGUGUAGCAGUGAAAUGCGUAGAUAUAGGGAAGAACACCAGUGGCGAAGGCGGCUCUCUGGUCUGUAACUGACGCUGAGGUUCGAAAGCGUGGGUAGCAAACAGGAUUAGAUACCCGUGUAGUC
RNAcentral lists this ribosomal RNA (465 nucleotides) under uncultured bacterium. RNAcentral's name for it is "partial 16S ribosomal RNA". It matches the Rfam family "Bacterial small subunit ribosomal RNA", at positions 338 to 795 of the family's 1533-position model. The record is from RNAcentral.